UGAGAGCUUGCUUUUGAUUAUUUUAGCGGCGGACGGUUGAGUAACGUGUGGGCAACUUACCUUUUACUGUGGAAUAAUCGUUGGAAACGACGACUAAUACCGCAUACGGUUCUUGGAAGGCAUCUUCUAAGAAAGAAAGGAGUAAUUCGGUAAAAGAUGGGCCCGCAUCUGAUUAGCUAGUUGGUGAGAUAAUAGCCCACCAAGGCAACGAUCAGUAGCCGACCUGAGAGGGUGACCGGCCACAUUGGGACUGAGACACGGCCCAAACUCCUACGGGAGGCAGCAGUGGGGAAUAUUGCACAAUGGGCGAAAGCCUGAUGCAGCAACGCCGCGUGAAGGAAGACGGUUUUCGGAUUGUAAACUUCUAUCAAUAGGGAAGAAAGAAAUGACGGUACCUAAAUAAGAAGCCCCGGCUAACUACGUGCCAGCAGCCGCGGUAAUACGUAGGGGGCAAGCGUUAUCCGGAAUUACUGGGUGUAAAGGGAGAGUAGGCGGCAAGGUAAGCGAUAUGUGAAAGCCUUAAGCUUAACUUAAGGAUGGCAUAACGAACUAUCUAGCUAGAGUACAGGAGAGGAAAGCGGAAUUCCUAGUGUAGCGGUGAAAUGCGUAGAUAUUAGGAAGAACACCAGUGGCGAAGGCGGCUUUCUGGACUGAAACUGACGCUGAGGCUCGAAAGCGUGGGGAGCGAACAGGAUUAGAUACCCUGGUAGUCCACGCUGUAAACGAUGAGUGCUAGGUGUCGG
This 743-nucleotide ribosomal RNA is filed under the name uncultured bacterium. RNAcentral's name for it is "bacterial SSU rRNA". It matches the Rfam family "Bacterial small subunit ribosomal RNA", at positions 73 to 826 of the family's 1533-position model. The record is from RNAcentral.